Molecule: ribosomal RNA, 1654 nt
Filed under: Escherichia coli
Lineage: Bacteria; Pseudomonadati; Pseudomonadota; Gammaproteobacteria; Enterobacterales; Enterobacteriaceae
Description: partial 23S ribosomal RNA
Rfam family: Bacterial large subunit ribosomal RNA
Source: RNAcentral
CGAAUGCUGACAUAAGUAACGAUAAAGCGGGUGAAAAGCCCGCUCGCCGGAAGACCAAGGGUUCCUGUCCAACGUUAAUCGGGGCAGGGUGAGUCGACCCCUAAGGCGAGGCCGAAAGGCGUAGUCGAUGGGAAACAGGUUAAUAUUCCUGUACUUGGUGUUACUGCGAAGGGGGGACGGAGAAGGCUAUGUUGGCCGGGCGACGGUUGUCCCGGUUUAAGCGUGUAGGCUGGUUUUCCAGGCAAAUCCGGAAAAUCAAGGCUGAGGCGUGAUGACGAGGCACUACGGUGCUGAAGCAACAAAUGCCCUGCUUCCAGGAAAAGCCUCUAAGCAUCAGGUAACAUCAAAUCGUACCCCAAACCGACACAGGUGGUCAGGUAGAGAAUACCAAGGCGCUUGAGAGAACUCGGGUGAAGGAACUAGGCAAAAUGGUGCCGUAACUUCGGGAGAAGGCACGCUGAUAUGUAGGUGAAGUCCCUCGCGGAUGGAGCUGAAAUCAGUCGAAGAUACCAGCUGGCUGCAACUGUUUAUUAAAAACACAGCACUGUGCAAACACGAAAGUGGACGUAUACGGUGUGACGCCUGCCCGGUGCCGGAAGGUUAAUUGAUGGGGUCAGCGCAAGCGAAGCUCUUGAUCGAAGCCCCGGUAAACGGCGGCCGUAACUAUAACGGUCCUAAGGUAGCGAAAUUCCUUGUCGGGUAAGUUCCGACCUGCACGAAUGGCGUAAUGAUGGCCAGGCUGUCUCCACCCGAGACUCAGUGAAAUUGAACUCGCUGUGAAGAUGCAGUGUACCCGCGGCAAGACGGAAAGACCCCGUGAACCUUUACUAUAGCUUGACACUGAACAUUGAGCCUUGAUGUGUAGGAUAGGUGGGAGGCUUUGAAGUGUGGACGCCAGUCUGCAUGGAGCCGACCUUGAAAUACCACCCUUUAAUGUUUGAUGUUCUAACGUGGACCCGUAAUCCGGGUUGCGGACAGUGUCUGGUGGGUAGUUUGACUGGGGCGGUCUCCUCCUAAAGAGUAACGGAGGAGCACGAAGGUUGGCUAAUCCUGGUCGGACAUCAGGAGGUUAGUGCAAUGGCAUAAGCCAGCUUGACUGCGAGCGUGACGGCGCGAGCAGGUGCGAAAGCAGGUCAUAGUGAUCCGGUGGUUCUGAAUGGAAGGGCCAUCGCUCAACGGAUAAAAGGUACUCCGGGGAUAACAGGCUGAUACCGCCCAAGAGUUCAUAUCGACGGCGGUGUUUGGCACCUCGAUGUCGGCUCAUCACAUCCUGGGGCUGAAGUAGGUCCCAAGGGUAUGGCUGUUCGCCAUUUAAAGUGGUACGCGAGCUGGGUUUAGAACGUCGUGAGACAGUUCGGUCCCUAUCUGCCGUGGGCGCUGGAGAAUUGAGGGGGGCUGCUCCUAGUACGAGAGGACCGGAGUGGACGCAUCACUGGUGUUCGGGUUGUCAUGCCAAUGGCACUGCCCGGUAGCUAAAUGCGGAAGAGAUAAGUGCUGAAAGCAUCUAAGCACGAAACUUGCCCCGAGAUGAGUUCUCCCUGACCCUUUAAGGGUCCUGAAGGAACGUUGAAGACGACGACGUUGAUAGGCCGGGUGUGUAAGCGCAGCGAUGCGUUGAGCUAACCGGUACUAAUGAACCGUGAGGCUUAACCUU